This 662-nucleotide ribosomal RNA is filed under the name Lobaria pseudopulmonaria. RNAcentral's name for it is "SSU rRNA". It matches the Rfam family "Bacterial small subunit ribosomal RNA", at positions 406 to 1128 of the family's 1533-position model. The record is from RNAcentral. Lineage: Eukaryota; Fungi; Ascomycota; Lecanoromycetes; Peltigerales; Lobariaceae.
UGUAGUUACUACUUUGUAGUUUAAAUUUCUAGGUAGAAUUAUGAUGAUGACAUUAUCUAUCUAUAGGUCUUGACCAAAUUACGUGCCAGCAGUCGCGGUAAUACGUAGAAGACAAGUGUUAUUCAUCUUUAUUAGGUUUAAAGAGUACCAAGACGGUUAAUAAAGCCCAAAAUACAUGAGCACAGGGGACACAUUAACUAGAGUUAUAUGAAAGGAAGCAAUAAGGUACUGUUGAGUGUAGAGAUAAAAUUCAGUAAUACCAGAUUAAAGGCACAGAUUUAUGCGAAGGCAUCUUCUUAUGUAAUAACUGACGUUGUAGGACGAAGGCUUUUGGAGUGAAGAGGAUUAGAGACCCUUGUAAUCUAAGCAGAAAAUGAUGAAUGUCAUAGGUUUAAUAUAAUUGGGUCUAUAAAUGAAAGUGUAAGCAUUCCACCUCAAGAGUAAUUUGGCAACAUUGGAACUGAAAUCAUUAGACCGUUUCUGAAACCAGUAGUGAAGUAUGUUGUUUAAUUAGAUGAUACGCAAAAAACCUUACCACAAUUUGAAUAUAUAUCAUUAAUGAUAUUUACAAGCGUUGCACGGCUGUCUUCAGUUAAUGUCGUGAGAUUUUGGUUAGUUCCAUAAAAUUAACGUAAACCCUCGUUUUAUUUAUAAAUAAAAUU